GGGGACUUAGCUCAGUUGGUAGAGCGGUAGCUUUGCAAGCUUCAGGUCAGGGGUUCGACCCCCUAGUCUCCACCA
This 75-nucleotide transfer RNA is filed under the name Brachybacterium sp. Z12. RNAcentral's name for it is "tRNA-Ala". It matches the Rfam family "tRNA". From Rfam's summary of the family: Transfer RNA (tRNA) molecules are approximately 80 nucleotides in length. Lineage: Bacteria; Bacillati; Actinomycetota; Actinomycetes; Micrococcales; Dermabacteraceae. The record is from RNAcentral. RNAcentral also lists the same sequence under 1 other name.